AGAUUGAACGCUGGCGGCAUGCCUUACACAUGCAAGUCGAACGGCAGCACGGGAGCAAUCCUGGUGGCGAGUGGCGAACGGGUGAGUAAUACAUCGGAACGUGCCCAUCGUGGGGAUAACGCAGCGAAAGCUGUGCUAAGUACCGCAUAACGAUCUACGGAUAGAAGCAGGGAUCGCAAGACCUUGCGCGAUGGAGCGGCGAUGCAGAGUUAGGUAGUUGUGAGGUAAAGCUACGACCAA
This 240-nucleotide ribosomal RNA is filed under the name uncultured soil bacterium. Its description in RNAcentral is "partial 16S ribosomal RNA". It matches the Rfam family "Bacterial small subunit ribosomal RNA", at positions 26 to 280 of the family's 1533-position model. The record is from RNAcentral.